GGUUGUGAGGGUGAUCUGACUGCAACAUCUGUCACCCCAUUGAUCGCCAGAGUUGAUUCAGCUGAUCUGGCUGACUAGGCAGGUGUCCCCUUGCUUCCUCAACGUUCUUUGUGCAUCCCUCCCAAAGCAGUAUGCUCUAUCAAAAAAGAGGACCACCCCCAUAGAAAGGACCAUUUCUUUGGUCAAAGGUGUAGGAGUAGCUGCACUCCCCUGCUAGAACCUCCAGGCAAGCUCUCAAAUGUUCUAUCAAAUACCUAUAUGGAAUCUGCAUAUUUUUAUGU
This 281-nucleotide small nuclear RNA is filed under the name Chinchilla lanigera (long-tailed chinchilla). RNAcentral describes it as "7SK RNA (ENSCLAG00000021514.1)". It matches the Rfam family "7SK RNA". From Rfam's summary of the family: 7SK was discovered as an abundant small nuclear RNA in the mid-70s but a possible function has only recently been suggested. Two independent studies have found that 7SK RNA binds the CDK9/cyclin T complex (known as elongation factor P-TEFb). The record is from Rfam by way of RNAcentral. Lineage: Eukaryota; Metazoa; Chordata; Mammalia; Rodentia; Chinchillidae.